Arabidopsis lyrata subsp. lyrata is the source of this 272-nucleotide long non-coding RNA. RefSeq lists it as uncharacterized. Lineage: Eukaryota; Viridiplantae; Streptophyta; Magnoliopsida; Brassicales; Brassicaceae. The record is from RefSeq and is a predicted model, not a curated record. The transcript has 2 exons.
UGAGAAACCGAGUCAAAUGUCUAGAAGACGAAGUAAGAAAAUUGAAUGAUACUAUUAAUCGUUUAGUUAGUUCCAAUACCGACUAUAGAAGGGAUUAAGUGUUAGACACGAGAUGAAUAGACAUGAAGCAAGCUUGAAAUGGAUGUUUUAUUAUAAGUUCAAAUUGUUAUCUAUUUUAUAAAACAAUAAAAUCAUUUUAAGUUUUAAAGAUAAUUAUGAAUUGUGAAAGAUGUAAUCGAUUAUUUUAUUUUAUUUUUAAUUAUUUUCUAAAA